GACGAACGCUGGCGGCGUGCUUAACACAUGCAAGUCGAACGGAAAGGCCCUGCUUUUGUGGGGUGCUCGAGUGGCGAACGGGUGAGUAACACGUGAGUAACCUGCCCUUGACUUUGGGAUAACUUCAGGAAACUGGGGCUAAUACCGGAUAGGAGCUCCUGCUGCAUGGUGGGGGUUGGAAAGUUUCGGCGGUUGGGGAUGGACUCGCGGCUUAUCAGCUCGUUGGUGGGGUAGUGGCUUACCAAGGCUUUGACGGGUAGCCGGCCUGAGAGGGUGACCGGCCACAUUGGGACUGAGAUACGGCCCAGACGCCUACGGGAGGCAGCAGUGGGGAAUAUUGCACAAUGGGCGGAAGCCUGAUACAGCAACGCCGCGUGCGGGAUGACGGCCUUCGGGUUGUAAACCGCUUUCGCCUGUGACGAAGCGUGAGUGACGGUAAUGGGUAAAGAAGCACCGGCUAACUACGUG
This 468-nucleotide ribosomal RNA is filed under the name uncultured bacterium. RNAcentral describes it as "partial 16S ribosomal RNA". It matches the Rfam family "Bacterial small subunit ribosomal RNA", at positions 28 to 507 of the family's 1533-position model. The record is from RNAcentral.